RNAcentral lists this ribosomal RNA (497 nucleotides) under uncultured bacterium. Its description in RNAcentral is "partial 16S ribosomal RNA". It matches the Rfam family "Bacterial small subunit ribosomal RNA", at positions 28 to 507 of the family's 1533-position model. The record is from RNAcentral.
GAUGAACGCUGGCGGCGUGCCUAAUACAUGCAAGUCGAGCGAACAGACGAGGAGCUUGCUCCUCUGACGUUAGCGGCGGACGGGUGAGUAACACGUGGAUAACCUACCUAUAAGACUGGGAUAACUUCGGGAAACCGGAGCUAAUACCGGAUAAUAUAUUGAACCGCAUGGUUCAAUAGUGAAAGACGGUUUUGCUGUCACUUAUAGAUGGAUCCGCGCCGCAUUAGCUAGUUGGUAAGGUAACGGCUUACCAAGGAAACGAUGCGUAGCCGACCUGAGAGGGUGCUCGGCCACACUGGAACUGAGCCACGGUCCAGACUCCUACGGGAGGCAGCAGUAGGGAAUCUUCCGCAAUGGGCGAAAGCCUGACGGAGCAACGCCGCGUGAGUGAUGAAGGUGUUCGGAUCGUAAAACUCUGUUAUUAGGGAAGAACAAAUGUGUAAGUAACUAUGCACGUCUUGACGGUACCUAAUCAGAAAGCCACGGCUAACUACGUG